RNAcentral lists this small RNA (686 nucleotides) under Arabidopsis thaliana (thale cress). RNAcentral describes it as "ATSL171290". The record is from RNAcentral. Lineage: Eukaryota; Viridiplantae; Streptophyta; Magnoliopsida; Brassicales; Brassicaceae.
AAUUAAGUGACAUAUCUAACAUGUAAAAAUGAGUAAUGUUUUGGUGAUUUCACUUAUAUAUUGCAUCUCUUUCUCUGCUCCUUUGGCUUUCAGAAAAUUCUUCACUAAUUAGAAAAAAAUAUUUUGUUUAUUCUUUUUCCGUAUUCAAAAUCUCUCAAAAUUUGGUCAUUUUUCGAUUUCUAUAUUUAUCUAAUUUUCAAGGUGAGAGUUGUUAAUGUAGUUUGGUUAUGAUUUAACCCGACCGAAAUCCUCAUGACCUAACAAAUUAUAAAUAAUCUCUGACAAAACAAGGUAAAUUGUCUCGGGUUGAAAGAGACAUUAGAAUUAGAUGAUAUUAACAUAAGUCAGCCCCUCUUCUACAUUUUUAGCUUUCUUUUAGUCGAAAAUCAUUCCAAACUCGGAACAUACAUUGUGGUGUUUAUUUGGGAAGAAGUCCACGCUAAAGUAUUUUAGUACAUUUCUACCAGAUUACCCGGAUAAAUAAAAAAAGCGAAGUUACUUACAACAUGAAACAGCUUGCACAUUGAAGAAAAGUAAUCAAUCAGCAGUAUAUCCAAUGAAUCUAUGCAUCUUGUCAGGUCCAUUGGGCCUUAGAGGCCUAAAUAUUUGAAGAAAGAGUAAAAUCAAAAAUAAAGUAUCGAAAAAAGGUAACCCAAAAAUUAAUAUAGUUUGACUAAUUUUGUUGC